CUGGUGCCAGCAGCCGCGGUAAUUCCAGCUCCAAUAGCGUAUAUUAAACUUGUUGCAGUUAAAAAGCUCGUAGUUGAAUUUUAGCGUGUUCGAGUUUGCCAUUCGUUUGGCUUUUUCGAGUUCGCUUUUGGGUUUUCCCUUUUUACUUUGAGAAAAUUAGAGUGUUUCAAGCAGACUUUUGUCUUGAAUACUUCAGCAUGGAAUAAUAGAGUAGGACUUUGGUUCUAUUUUGUUGGUUAUUGAACCUUAGUAAUGGUUAAUAGGAACGGUUGGGGGCA
Molecule: ribosomal RNA, 278 nt
Filed under: Babesia vogeli
Lineage: Eukaryota; Apicomplexa; Aconoidasida; Piroplasmida; Babesiidae
Description: partial 18S ribosomal RNA
Rfam family: Eukaryotic small subunit ribosomal RNA
Source: RNAcentral